GAUGAACGCUAGCGACAGGCCUAACACAUGCAAGUCGAGGGGCAGCAUGAAAUUAGCUUGCUAAUUUUGAUGGCGACCGGCGCACGGGUGAGUAACACGUAUGCAACCUGCCUGUAAGCGGGGGAUAACCCAGAGAAAUCUGGACUAAUACCGCAUAAUAUCAUAGUUUCGCAUGUUACUAUGAUUAAAGAUUUAUUGCUUACAGAUGGGCAUGCGUCUGAUUAGCUAGUUGGCGGGGUAACGGCCCACCAAGGCUACGAUCAGUAGGGGUUCUGAGAGGAAGGUCCCCCACAUUGGAACUGAGACACGGUCCAA
This 315-nucleotide ribosomal RNA is filed under the name uncultured bacterium. RNAcentral describes it as "bacterial SSU rRNA". It matches the Rfam family "Bacterial small subunit ribosomal RNA", at positions 28 to 334 of the family's 1533-position model. The record is from RNAcentral.